CCAUCCGGUCUUACGAGGCCGCGUCUUCAACUCGUCGCAGACCCUCCACGCAAGUGUCUGAGAAUGCGGCUGAGGCGAAGUAAACCCUUGCCUACGAGUACCCUUUGUUCCCUCGGCGGGCUCGCGCCCGUCGAUGGGCCCAACCAAAACCCCUUUGCAGUAGCAGUAUACCUCUGAUCGUGGGCAUUUGAAUCUUAA
This 198-nucleotide unclassified non-coding RNA is filed under the name uncultured Ascomycota. Its description in RNAcentral is "sequence contains ITS1". The record is from RNAcentral. Lineage: Eukaryota; Fungi; Ascomycota.